CCGGAGUCACUGGGCGUAAAGCGCGCGUAGGCGGCCUGUUAAGUUGGAUGUGAAAGCCCGGGGCUCAACUCCGGAUGUGCAUCCGAGACUGGCAGGCUAGAGUCCGAGAGAGGGCGGCGGAAUUCCCAGUGUAGAGGUGAAAUUCGUAGAUAUUGGGAAGAACACCGGUGGCGAAGGCGGCCGCCUGGCUCGGAACUGACGCUGAGGCGCGAAAGCGUGGGGAGCAAACAGG
Molecule: ribosomal RNA, 232 nt
Filed under: uncultured bacterium
Lineage: Bacteria
Description: partial 16S ribosomal RNA
Rfam family: Bacterial small subunit ribosomal RNA
Source: RNAcentral